RNAcentral lists this non-coding RNA (317 nucleotides) under Nicotiana sylvestris (wood tobacco). Its description in RNAcentral is "Bacterial small subunit ribosomal RNA". It matches the Rfam family "Bacterial small subunit ribosomal RNA", at positions 604 to 973 of the family's 1533-position model. Lineage: Eukaryota; Viridiplantae; Streptophyta; Magnoliopsida; Solanales; Solanaceae. The record is from Rfam by way of RNAcentral.
GAUAUUCAGUGUCUGAUGUUCGUACGACAGUAUCCACCAAAAUUGCAAGAAUAACAUAUGCCCCAAGAUUUUUGACUAUUAUCAAUGAAGUAUAAUAUAAUAUAUUUUCAAAAAAUUGAUUGGAUUAGAUACCCCAGUAAUCCUAGCCGUGAACAAUGAAUACUAGGCGUUGUGCGUAUCAACCUGUGUUGUACUGUAGCUCAUGCAUUAAGUAUCCCGUCUAGGGAGUACGUUCGCAAGAAUAAAACUUAAAGGAAUUACUGGGGCAAAACUCUAACUUGAGUAAGUGCUACAGGCAGAGGCGGACCUACGGCUUA